This 2813-nucleotide long non-coding RNA is filed under the name Capsicum annuum. RNAcentral's name for it is "long non-coding RNA (CANN_LNC004940)". Lineage: Eukaryota; Viridiplantae; Streptophyta; Magnoliopsida; Solanales; Solanaceae. The record is from RNAcentral.
AAUAUUGUUUGAACUUUUUGCCCUUUACUAAAAGUUUUUGUUUUAGACAAAAUUAUCUUUUCAUUAUUUUUUCCUAAUAUUUAAGAGUUGAAAAUUAAUUAAAUGUAUUUAUGGUAAAAACCAUUUCUUAUUAGAAGUCAUCAGAAUCAACGACAACUAAUACUUUUUUUAAUAGUUUAAGUACUAAAUCAACUAGAUUUGAUUUUAAAAAGAUUUGGAAUCUAAAAAUAAAUAUAAAAGUGUUAGAACAAGAAAAAUUUAAGAAGUACCAAAUUUUUAAAAGUUUAAAGUACGUAAUAAGAAUGUAAUCAAUAAUAUUGUAAAGAUUUGACUUUAAAAAUAAGAAAAAAUUUUAAACAUAGAAAAAAAUAGUCGUAUUACAAAAUGGUUCAAAUUGAUGUGUCGCUCUUUACCUCUAACAACAAGGAAAAGAGGUACUGCAUAACAAACACAAAAGUUAUGAUCCAUCAACUAGUUGAAACUUCUGGUGGUAAACAUAUAUGUGUUUACACUAAAAUAUAUAUUUGUGUUUAUAUUAUUAUAUUAAAGUGUGAAGGAUCUUUGAAAAGUGAUUUAAACGUUUUAUACUUCAUUAAAAAUCUUUAGCAUAAAAAAAUUAUUUAAUUUUAAAUAAUCAAACUUUAUAUGUGCGAGGCAUGUGGUUAAACUAGUAUCUAUAUCUAUAAUCUAUAAUAUAUUAAAAGUGUAAAAGACCUUAGAAAUAUUGUUUGAACUUUUUGUCCUUCGUUAAAAGUCUUUACUUUAAAUAAAGUCGUUUUUUCACUAUUUUUUCUAAUAUUUAAUAGUUAAAUAAUUAAAUGUAUUUAUGGUGAAACUUUUUCUUAUUAGAAGUCAUCAGAAUUAAUGAAAACUAUUACUUUAUUCAUUAGUUUAAGAAUUUUAAAUCAACUAGAUUUGAUUUUAAGAAGAUUUGAAAGAUCUAAAAAUAAACAUAAAAGCAUUAGAUAAGAAAAAUUUAGGAAGUAUCAAAAUUUUAAAGUUUUAAGUAGGUAAUAAGAAUGUAACCAAUGAUAUUGUAAAUAUUUGACAUUAAAAGCAAGAAAAAAUAGAAAAAAAAAUCAAAAGUUAUGAUCCAUCAACUACUUGAAACUUCUGGUGGUAAAAUAUAUACUUACACUAAAAUAUAUGUUUAUGUUUACAUUAUCAUACUUAAGUGUGAAGGAUCUUUGAAAAGUGAUUUGAACUUUUUAUACUUCAUUAAAAAUCUUUAUAAUAAAUAAAAUUAUUUAAUUUUAAAUAAUUAAAUAUUAUAUGUGCGAGGCACGUGUGGUUAAACGAGUAUUCUAUUAAAAAUAUGAAGACCGUUAGAUAAGUGAUUCAAACUUUUUUCUCUUCAUUAAAAGUUUUUUUUUCCAGACAAAUUCAUCUUUUUACUAUUUUGCUAAUUUUAUUAUUUAGUUAAACAAAAGUCUCCUAAUCAUAAAAUAUAUGGAAAGGAAAAAAAAAACUACUAAUAUGGGGAAUGUGCCGGUGGAAUUUGAGGAAAAGGAUUUUGAUCAACAGUGACGAUAAUUUUUUUUUUAAUGUCUUUGGUUUAAAUAAAAAAAAUGUAUGGUAGUCAAACCUCUACCACUAAUAUGAUUUACUUUUAUUUCUUAUUUUAACUAAUCGUUUUGGUCGACUUUACAAACUUUUUGGCAGUAAUUGUUAGUAGCAUAAAUACAAUUAAGUUAUUAAUUAAUUAUUGCCCUAAACUUUAGAAUUUAAAACUAAUUAAAGUUCUUAUCUAUUUAAAUUAAAAAUCAUAAUAUUUUAACAUUCUAAAUCAAUUAGAAAUUUACCUUAUAUAGAAAAAAAUUUGUACAAUUGAUAUUUAAGUAAUAUUCCUCAAAAUUUUAAUCAAAUUGCAUUACACAUGAUCAAGUCUUGGUCAAAACCCUUCUUUUGUAUUAAGCCUAGCUGGCCUUUUGCCUUUCAAUUAAUUAAGGAUAAAUUACACAAAUUUCAUGCUUAACGGACUAUAUUACCUAAUAUUUUUUACUAUUUUAAAAUUUACAUAAAAUCCAUUUCAACUUUACUCGUGAAACAUAUCAAGAAAACCCACAUCCUAUUUUUACUCCACCAUUAACUCAUUCAAGAUUUUCUUUCCUAAAAUAUCUCCCUAAUUAUCAACAAUUAAAUCAUCCUCCUUCUUGAUUUUUUUCCUUCCAUUAAUGCUUAAAUCAUCUUCCUUUCUGAUUUUUUUUCUCCUCCAUUAAUGCAUGUAACUUUUUUUCCUCUCCUAAAAUCUCUCUUUUUUAAAAAUAAAAUAAAAUCUAUUGAUACAUAUAUAAAUUUAUUUAGUUAUUCAUAAAUGUUUAUUUUUUUAAUGGUGAUUCAUAUGAAUGAUAAACAUGAUAUCAUUAUAUGAGUAUUAUGGUAAUUCAUACGAUAGAUACAUUUUGUAUGAUUUUAACGGGUGAUACAUAUGAUAUUAAUGGGUGAUACAUAUGAUAUUAAUGGGUGAUAUAUAUGGUAUUAUGGUGAUUCAUAUGGUAGAUACAAUUAUUUAUUUUAAUUAUUGGGUGGUUCAUAGAUAUGGUAUUAUGGUGAUUAAUAUGGUAGAUACAAUUAUUUAUUUCAAUUACUAGUGGAAUGGGAUCGCGCUUCGGCGGUGAUAAACUAUUUUAUUGAAUAAAAAUAUAAUUUUUAUGAUUAUUCAAGUGCAAUGAAUGCGUUAAGAUUUCUUUUAGAUUCAAAUUCAAAAAAUUAAAGUUAAUACUUUAAAUUCAUAAUAUUAUUAUAAUUAGUUGUGUAGUUUAUUCAAAUUUUUCACUCUUUAAAAAUUUAUGAUCUUUUAGGGAUACUUGAUU